Molecule: ribosomal RNA, 435 nt
Filed under: uncultured bacterium
Lineage: Bacteria
Description: partial 16S ribosomal RNA
Rfam family: Bacterial small subunit ribosomal RNA
Source: RNAcentral
GAUGAACGCUGGCGGUAUGCUUAACACAUGCAAGUCGAACGGACUCUUCGGAGUUAGUGGCGGACGGGUGAGUAACGCGUGAGAAUCUGGCUUUGGGUUCGGGACAACCACUGGAAACGGUGGCUAAUACCGGAUGUGCCGAGAGGUAAAAGAGAAAUUGCCUGAAGAUGAGCUCGCGUCUGAUUAGCUAGUUGGUGAGGUAAAGGCUCACCAAGGCAGCGAUCAGUAGCUGGUCUGAGAGGAUGACCAGCCACACUGGGACUGAGACACGGCCCAGACUCCUACGGGAGGCAGCAGGGGGGAAUUUUCCGCAAUGGGCGAAAGCCUGACGGAGAAAUACCGCGUGAGGGAAGAAGGCUCUGGGGUUGUAAACCUCUUUUCUUAGGGAAGAACAAAAUGACGGUACCUAAGGAAUCAGCAUCGGCUAACUCCGUG